Molecule: ribosomal RNA, 406 nt
Filed under: uncultured eukaryote
Lineage: Eukaryota
Description: bacterial SSU rRNA
Rfam family: Eukaryotic small subunit ribosomal RNA
Source: RNAcentral
AUAUUUAUAGCAAAUUAUACAGAGGAAGUAAUUCUUCUUGAUAAUAAACCGAUCAAAUUUCUGCCCUAUCAUACUUUGGACGGUAAUGUAGUGGAUUACGGUGGUGAUGACGGGUAACGGAGAAUUAGGGUUUGAUUCCGGAGAGGGAGCAUGAGAAAUGGCUACCACUUCCAAGGAAGGCAGCAGGCGCGUAAAUUACCCAAUCCUAAAACAGGGAGGUAGUGACGAUAAAUAACAAUGAUUCAAUGAUAACAAAGUUGAAUUAAUUGGAAUGAGAACAAUAUAAAUCCCUUAUCGAGUAACAAUUUCAGGGCAAGUUCUGGUGCCAGCAGCCGCGGUAAUUCCAGCUGAAAAAGCGUAUACGAAUAUUGUUGCAGUUAAAACGCUCGUAGUUGGAAUAAAAAAG